UACGUAGGGUGCGAGCGUUGUCCGGAAUUAUUGGGCGUAAAGGGCUCGUAGGCGGUUUGUCGCGUCGGGAGUGAAAACCAGGUGCUUAACACCUGGCUUGCUUUCGAUACGGGCAGACUAGAGGUAGGCAGGGGAGAGCGGAACUCCUGGUGUAGCGGUGGAAUGCGCAGAUAUCAGGAGGAACACCGGUGGCGAAGGCGGAUCUCUGGGCCAUUACUGACGCUGAGGAGCGAAAGCGUGGGGAGCGAACAGG
Molecule: ribosomal RNA, 253 nt
Filed under: uncultured bacterium
Lineage: Bacteria
Description: partial 16S ribosomal RNA
Rfam family: Bacterial small subunit ribosomal RNA
Source: RNAcentral